Long non-coding RNA from Trachemys scripta elegans, 3367 nucleotides. RefSeq lists it as uncharacterized. The record is from RefSeq and is a predicted model, not a curated record. The transcript is spliced from 2 exons. NCBI's taxonomy places the organism in Eukaryota, Metazoa, Chordata, Testudines, Emydidae.
GUCACUGCCACUUUGGCAGACAGAGACUGAACAGAGCUCCUUCUAGCCAAUUAAGGAGUAAUGUUGGUUAAUUGGCUUCAGAGGUUGCUGUUUAACAUGGCAAGGCAUGCCCCUGUACCUAGGGGCUCAUUGUAUUGCCUCUGCACCACUUCCAUUUCCAUUUGGUUGAGACAGUAGGAAUAUAUCCCAGAACAGACUUCAUGCUUUGCACUAAGCUAGUCUGGCACAUUUUUCAGUUCUUAAACUCUUUCUCACUCAAUGCUCCUCUGAUCUUUUAAUCUUACUGUAGUGUACUGACUAUGCAUACACCACUUUUUUUUUUCUUUCUGUAUGACUCCACCAGUGAUAGCAGUGGUGGGAGCCCUUGUGUAGACCAUGUGAAGGUAUUUUAACCACUGUGUAGUUUAAGUCCGUCUCAAGGUGACUUCACUAAGUGCCUUUCUAUAGUGGAGUUCUUUUAAUGCUGAUUAGUAUAUUUUCUGUAUGAUACAAACUGAGUGUAAGUACUGUACAAUGGGAAGUAGGUCUCCAAAUGGUAGAAAUUUUUCUUUAGAUUGGGAAUGAAGUGUGUUUAAAUGGUGUCAGCUUGGUUCAAAAAAGCUUCUUGCAGCUUUUUGGGAGGUGUUCUACUGGCAUAGUAGACAUGUAUCUGAUUAAGAGUGAAGCAUAUUUGUAGAACCAUCCAAAAAACUACUUGUGGCUAGCCAGUGCUUUGAUGGCGUAUACAGAGAUUAACGUGCAUUUAGCAUGGCUUAAAAGUAGUUGUAUCCAAAUCAGAUUAUGAAACUCAUGCUGGUCAAGCCCAUGCUAUGUUCUAACUAGAUGAAAAGCCCAUGCCAUAGUCCACAUUGGGACAUAGGUUAGAGCCAGGUGUAUUUAACUCAGUUACAGUAUUGGUCAUGGCCACACACUCAAACCAGCCAGGCUGUUUCACAAUAUGGUUAGGACAAAGCUUUGUGUUAUGUGGUAUACGUGACACAAAGCUUUGUGUUAUGUGGUAUACGUGAUGCCAGGAUGUUUACAGCCCAGUGGGAAUGUGGGGAGGAAAGAAUUUACUUGUAAUUUAAUUGUAUUUUGAAUUUAAUUGUAAUGGCUACAGCUGCCCCAUUCCUGUUCAUUCCUCCCAACUGAAUCCUGGAAUGCUGUAGGGGCACUGUUUUGUGUAACAGGGUAUUGACCCAACCAUAGUACAGUACAGUUUGGUUUUGGUUGUGUGAACAGGAUCAAACUCUUAUAACAGUGUUAUUGUUCUGCAGCCUUGGCCUGUACAAGGCUGUGGCACAGUUAACAUGGCUUCAUCCCGUCGACAUAGGUAAGGCCAAAUCAUGUAAUAUGGUUGCACUACUGCUGUGUUAUAAUAGUGUUGACAUCUUAACACUUGUAGAUGGGCCUUCAGACUAAUUGCCAAAACUUGGAAAUGUAUGCUUGCUGACAAGGGGAAGAACUGGAGUCCUGUUGGGCAGGGAAAACUAUACAAUUAGAGACUCCUCCCCCAUUAGAGUGAUUCAGGGCAUGGAUCCAAGCUGGUUAGCCAGAUUGCAGUUUGCUGCCUUCCCUAGCUCCUCUUUCUGCUUCUGUCAGUCAUUGCAUUCAGCCUUCACUGAAACCUAUACAACAGGUCUCUCCAUCCUAAGGAUGCCAACCCUCCAGGAUUAUCCGGGAGUUUCCAGUAAUUAAAGAUUAAUCUUUAAUUAAAGACCAUUAUGUGAUUAAAACCUCUAGGAAUACAUCCAACCCAAAUUGGCAACCCUGUUCCAUCCUUGAACUAGUACAGUCCCCUCUUUAGAAAACUGUGGUAAAUGCAAAUGGGCAAAGACAAGUAGGGAGGGAAGGGGAGAACUAGUGAGGGGAAAGGCGAGAAAAGAUGUGCACUAAGGCCUCAUCUAUGCUACAAAGUUCUGUGGACGUGAGCCGCUUUGUGUUGACCUAGUUGUGCAUGUGUCUAUACUUAAAUUUGUCUCCCACCAAUGUAAGUACCCUGUUACAGUGACUCAGUAAUACCACUUUCCCAAGUGGCAUUCAUCCAUGGUCAAAGUGCUGAGGUUGACACAGCUUGACAAAGACACUGUGUAAUUAGGCCCACCCUAACAGUCCGCCAGUGGCUGUCCCACAGUGCCUGAUGCUGACUGCUCUGGUUACAGUCGUGAACUCCAUUGGUCUGCAUGACCCCUAGGCAGAAGGCUCCCCUCCCCUGUAAAGCCACGUGAAUUUUUGAAAUGCCUCUUCCUGAUGGCCCCACUUGGCAAGCACACCUAGCAGCUCUCCCUUGUUGUGUGCAACUGCCCAGCUGACCAUGCCAGCUAUAUGCUCCAAAUGUUCUCUGGCUUGGAGUAGACAGAAGAUAUUGGGCCUGUGGGGAGAAAAGGCUAUGCAAGCACAGCUACGGACCAACUGUAGAAACAUGGACAUCUAUGAGCAGAUUGCACAGGAGAUGGAAGAGGAGGGGUAUGGCGGGCCAGCCGCAGUGCCGUGUGAAGGGGAAGGAACUGCAUCAGGCAUAUCAGAAGGCCAGGGAGGCCAACAGUUGAUCUGGUGCUGAUGUAAAAGAGGCCUGUCAUACCUGGCGGAGACACCACCACCACACCGCAGACCAUCUUGGAUACCUCUGAGGAGCCCAAGCACAGGCCCUUGGUGUGACCAGCAAGGGAUGAGAUGGAGGAGGAAGAGGAGUCAGGUGGGAGACGUGUGACUUGGCGCUUCAGCUGUGUCAUGAGCCAGGAUCUGUUUGAGGCUCCAGUGCAGUCCAGUCAGUCCCAGCAGGAGCCCGAUGCACUGGAAGGAAACUUGGCUGCUGCUAUGGCAGCCUUGAGAGUCUCCCUCUCCACACCCAUGGAUGGCCUGAGCCAGAUGAGGAAGAGGACUUGGGAUGAUAUGUUUGAUGACAUCCUGCAAAAGACUGUGCUGCAUAGAGUGUGAGCACAGGGCCUGGAGGGUGAACUUUGUAGUCAGCCUGAGGAAGGAAAGAGCAGACAGGAGAGAGGCCCAGGAGUCCCAGCAGGAAAAGUAGAGGGAGAUGUAGCAGGAUAUAAUGGGGCUCCUCUGGCAUGAAAACCAGAUGCUGGAGACUCUUGUGGACUUACAGGCUCAACAGUCAUGAGCUCCCCUCCCUUUACAAUGCAUGGAAGACUUCAUUACAGCACCUUCCUGCAUCCACCCCUCCCCAUUCCAUGUUGCAUUGGGGACGCAUCGCUGCUCCAUCCCUAACUCUGCACACCAGGAGACAUUAAGGACAACCACAGCUUCACAUACAAUGACCUGUGAAAACCACAGUUGCUGUAUGUGUAGCUAAAAAUUACAUGAAUAUUCUUUCCCCGUGUUUAGUUCUGUUCCAUAUAUUAAAAAAAUAAUAAAUUAAUUUGCUUUUAAA